UACACUCCUACGGGAGGCAGCAGUGGGGAAUAUUGGACAAUGGGCGCAAGCCUGAUCCAGCCAUGCCGCGUGAGUGAUGAAGGCCCUAGGGUUGUAAAGCUCUUUCACCGGUGAAGAUAAUGACGGUAACCGGAGAAGAAGCCCCGACUAACUUCGUGCCAGCAGCCGCGGUAAUACGAAGGGGGCUAGCGUUGUUCGGAUUUACUGGGCGUAAAGCGCACGUAGGCGGACUAUUAAGUCAGGGGUGAAAUCCCGGGGCUCAACCCCGGAACUGCCUUUGAUACUGGUAGUCUUGAGUUCGAGAGAGGUGAGUGGAAUUCCGAGUGUAGAGGUGAAAUUCGUAGAUAUUCGGAGGAACACCAGUGGCGAAGGCGGCUCACUGGCUCGAUACUGACGCUGAGGUGCGAAAGCGUGGGGAGCAAACAGGAUUAGAUACCCGGGUAGUCCCA
This 449-nucleotide ribosomal RNA is filed under the name uncultured organism. RNAcentral describes it as "partial 16S ribosomal RNA". It matches the Rfam family "Bacterial small subunit ribosomal RNA", at positions 332 to 797 of the family's 1533-position model. The record is from RNAcentral.